UAACCACUGGAAAACGUGGCUAAUACCGCAUAACGUCGCAAGACCAAAUGGGGGACCUUCGGGCCUCACACCAUCGGAUGAACCCAGAUGGGAUUAGCUAGUAGUGGGUAACGGCUCACCUAGGCGACGAUCCCUAGCUGGUCUGAGAGGAUGACCAGCCACACUGGAACUGAGACACGGUCCAGACUCCUACGGGAGGCAGCAGUGGGGAAUAUUGCACAAUGGGCGCAAGCCUGAUGCAGCCAUGCCGCGUGUAUGAAGAAGGCCUUCGGGUUGUAAAGUACUUUCAGCGGGGAGGAAGGGGACGAGGUUAACAGCCUCGUUCAUUGACGUUACCCGCAGAAGAAGCACCGGCUAACUCCGUGC
Molecule: ribosomal RNA, 366 nt
Filed under: uncultured Pantoea sp.
Lineage: Bacteria; Pseudomonadati; Pseudomonadota; Gammaproteobacteria; Enterobacterales; Erwiniaceae
Description: bacterial SSU rRNA
Rfam family: Bacterial small subunit ribosomal RNA
Source: RNAcentral